GCAGUUAAAAAGCUCGUAGUUGGAUUUCGGGCGGGUUUCGUCGGUCCGCCUCUGGUGUGCACUGCCGGGAUCCGCCUUUCUGUCGAGGACGGGCUCCUGGGCUUUACUGUCUGGGACUCGGGCUCGACGAGGUUACUUUGAGUAAAUUAGAGUGUUCAAAGCAGGCGAUCGCCCUGAAUACAUUAGCAUGGAAUAGCACGAUAGGACUCUGGCCUAUCUUGCUGGUCUGUAGGACCGGAGUAAUGAUUAAGAGGGACAGUCGGGGGCAUUCGUAUUUCAUUGUCAGAGGUGAAAUUCUUGGAUUUAUGAAAGACGAACUUCUGCGAAAGCAUUUGCCAAGGAUGUUUUCAUUGAUCAAGAACGAAAGUUGGGGGCUCGAAGACGAUUAGAUACCGUCGUAGUCUCAACCAUAAACGAUGCCGACCAGGGAUUGGCGAGCGUUCUUUUGAUGACCUCGCCAGCACCUUGAGAGAAAUCAGAGUCUUUGGGUUCCGGGGGGAGUAUGGUCGCAAGGCUGAAACUUAAAGGAAUUGACGGAAGGGCACCACCAGGCGUGGAACCUGCGGCUUAAUUUGACUCAACACGGGAAAACUUACCAGGUCCAGACACGAGGAUGAUUAACAGAUUGAGAGCUCUUUUUUGAUUUUGUGGGUGGUGGUGCAUGGCCGUUCUUAGUUGGUGGGUUGCCUUGUCAGGUUGAUUCCCGGUAGCGAACGAGACCUCAGCCUGCUAAAUAGUCACGCGUCCUUUUUGGAUGCGCCUGACUUCUUAGAGGGACUAUUACCGUUUAGGUAAUGGAAGUGUGAGGCAAUAACAGGUCUGUGAUGCCCUUUAGAUGUUCUGGGCCGCACGCGCGUUACACUGAUGCAUUCAACGAGCCUAUCCUUGGCCGAGAGGCCCGGGUAAUCUUUGAAACUGCAUCGUGAUGGGAUAGAUUA
This 938-nucleotide ribosomal RNA is filed under the name uncultured Chlorophyceae. Its description in RNAcentral is "SSU rRNA". It matches the Rfam family "Eukaryotic small subunit ribosomal RNA", at positions 615 to 1583 of the family's 1831-position model. Lineage: Eukaryota; Viridiplantae; Chlorophyta; Chlorophyceae. The record is from RNAcentral.